UCUAUAUUAUACAUCUCCUCCCACAAUCUCAGCAGUCCGUCGUCCCUGCAGUUUUCUUCCCUUUCAGUGAAGUGUGGAGGAGAAACGCAACGAGUUGUGAUUUUUUUUUCAAUAUCUUCUCUUCUGCAAGUUCUGCUUCUUCCGCGAAGUGGGAAGGAGAAAUCGAGAGAGUGUGACUUUUCAAUACCUUCUGCUUGUGCAAAUUUUCUUCUCUUCAAAGGGUAAAAUUUUGCACGUUGUUGAGGUUGGGACAGGAAGUUUGUGGAGGAGCUAAGCUUUUGAGAUUGAGCGACGACGGGCGUGGAGGAUGUUGAGCAGAAUUCAUGGAUUAUUUAUGUUUGGCUUAAUAUUGUUGGAUAUGUCGUGUCUUCAUACUCGGCAUUUUCCGUGUCUUGAACGCUUCCGCUAGGUGUCUUUUCUUUAAAAUUGUUUUAGUAUUGAGAACCUAACUCUUUUCAAAAUUGUCUACUUUCUAGUCUUUA
This is a long non-coding RNA of Salvia hispanica, 482 nucleotides long. RefSeq lists it as uncharacterized. Lineage: Eukaryota; Viridiplantae; Streptophyta; Magnoliopsida; Lamiales; Lamiaceae. The record is from RefSeq and is a predicted model, not a curated record.